This is a non-coding RNA of Staphylococcus sp. HMSC078E07, 211 nucleotides long. The record is from Rfam. NCBI's taxonomy places the organism in Bacteria, Bacillati, Bacillota, Bacilli, Caryophanales, Staphylococcaceae.
AAAUAAAAUAAAGCGCCUGGACAAAUAAUUAAAAUGUUAACCAUUUAGUAUUAAUUAAGAGAAUGCUAAUAGACAUAUUAAUUAUAUUGUAGACGAGGAGAAUAGUUAUCGAUAUAAUCGGCGGAUGCUAUUCCGGAUGUGGCACAUUCGUUAGCUUAUUAUUUAAAACAUAUAGGUAACUAGAUGUACAAAUAUAAUAAGAACGCCAAAU